Molecule: ribosomal RNA, 253 nt
Filed under: uncultured bacterium
Lineage: Bacteria
Description: partial 16S ribosomal RNA
Rfam family: Bacterial small subunit ribosomal RNA
Source: RNAcentral
UACAGAGGGUGCGAGCGUUGUCCGGAAUCACUGGGCGUAAAGGGCGCGUAGGUGGCGCUCCAAGUCCGUGGUGAAAGCUCGAUGCUCAACAUCGAGUCGGCCACGGAGACUGGAGGGCUCGAGCACUGUAGGGGCAGAUGGAAUUCCGGGUGUAGCGGUGGAAUGCGUAGAGAUCCGGAAGAACACCGGUGGCGAAGGCGGUCUGCUGGGCAGUAGCUGACGCUGAGGAGCGAAAGUGUGGGGAGCGAACAGG